Molecule: ribosomal RNA, 496 nt
Filed under: uncultured bacterium
Lineage: Bacteria
Description: partial 16S ribosomal RNA
Rfam family: Bacterial small subunit ribosomal RNA
Source: RNAcentral
GAUGAACGCUGGCGGCGUGCCUAAUACAUGCAAGUCGAGCGAACAGACGAGGAGCUUGCUCCUCUGACGUUAGCGGCGGACGGGUGAGUAACACGUGGAUAACCUACCUAUAAGACUGGGAUAACUUCGGGAAACCGGAGCUAAUACCGGAUAAUAUAUUGUACCGCAUGGUUCAAUAGUGAAAGACGGUUUUGCUGUCACUUAUAGAUGGAUCCGCGCCGCAUUAGCUAGUUGGUAAGGUAACGGCUUACCAAGGCAACGAUGCGUAGCCGACCUGAGAGGGUGAUCGGCAACACUGGAACGAAGACCGGCGCCAGCCUCCGACGGAGGGAAGGAGGAGGAAAUCUCCCGAAAGGGGGGAAAGCCGGACGGCGCAGCGCUGGGGGAGGAAUAAGGGUUUUAGUAUCUAAAAACGUUUUUAUUGGGAAAAAAAAAAUGUGAAAGAAACAAUCCACGUCUUGAGGGUCCCAAAAGAAAGAGCCGCGCAAACCUGCGC